This is a long non-coding RNA of Triticum aestivum (bread wheat), 4006 nucleotides long. RefSeq lists it as uncharacterized. The record is from RefSeq and is a predicted model, not a curated record. Lineage: Eukaryota; Viridiplantae; Streptophyta; Magnoliopsida; Poales; Poaceae. The transcript has 6 exons.
UUCUGAACCGGUAUCGUUACUGUUUAGAAAACAAAACAAAAGGGACAUUAUCUCUCCCGUGUGGCCGCUCCACCGCCAACCUCCUCUCCCAUGGCUCCGGCCGCCGCCCCGCGCCCCACUUUCUCCCCUGGCUCCGGCCGCUGCUCCGCGCCCCCAUCUUCUUCCCUGGUUCUGGCCGCCGCCCCGUGCCUCACCUUCUCCCUGGCUUCGGCCGCCGCUCCGCGCCCUCCUUCUUCCCUGGCUCCGGCCGCCGCCCCGCGUCUCACCUUCUUCCUGGCUCCGGCCGUCGUCCCGCGCCUGACCUUGUCCCCUGGUUCCGGCCAGCGCCCCACGCCCCACCUUCCCCCCAGCUCCGUCCGGCACCCCAUGCCCCACCUUCUCCCAUGGCAGCGGCCGCCGCCCCUCCCCCAUCCCCAGCGCGCCAAACCCCAGUUCUCCACCUACCCCAUCGUGACGCCGCCCAUUCUUCUUCCUCCUGACUUCUCCUAGCCAUGGCGAGCGCCUCCUCCCUGCUCCAAGCUCGCUCCAGACUACGCAGAGUCGCCAACCCCCGCCGCCUCGCGUGGAGUACAACCCCGCCCAUGUACGAGGUUCAAAGACCUUAUAUAGAGAAGGAAAGGAGAUGUUAACGUCGGCAUCUUCCUCGUCGCCAUCCCGUUUCGUGCACUGUCCGAUCAAUUCUACCGUAGCUCCGAACAACAGGAGUAAAAUAAAGCAAGUUCAAGUAAAAUCUCAAAUAAAAAUUCAGUUCAAGUUGAAGCCCAGGAGUAUACCCAUAUGGAUCAGACACGACAGUCGAUCUUGUUGAUGAUUCUCAAUAAAUAGAUGGUGAAGUUGGCAAACAGCUGAAUCAGAUGGUGCCUACCCCUAAAGAUUAACAGUUACAAGUAACUGCAUUUUGUCGAAAGUUCUUCGGUAUAGCCCCCUCUCCAUCAAAGUAGAAUAUUGUUCCAUUCAUUAUUUGGGCAGGAACCUGCUGUUUAAAUCCUCCUUUGGCUUGGCUGGAACAUGAGUUUCAGUAACUCUUGCACAAAUUAUGGGGAAUUCCACGUUCUGAAUUGGACUUUUGAACUAAACAGGAAAGUUAUCACGUACUGAUUCUAUUCAUCAAACAGUACAUCUCAUACAUAAUUUCAAGUGGGAAAUGAGACAUACUAGUUCCUUAUGAUGACAAUUUAGUACUGCACCAUAUUAUCAAUAAAGAUAUGGAACAGAUGUUUUCACCAUGUUUCAGCCCCAUAUACUUGUAAAGUUGUAAUCAACAGCUUACAACAUGGUGUAUUUCUUACCAAUUUCAUUUUAUCUACACAAUUUUCAGAAUGGCCUAACACAAAGUACUUACACAAACACAUAUGAGAUUGCCACGACAUGCCGGUGCACAAGACGCCGCAACCACGCCCCCCCACGCGCCGCCGUGACUACCGUCCUGCACUAGCCGCCAUGGCCACCAACCACAGUGGCGACUAGGGAUCGAGGCGUGGCCUGCUCAGGCGGGUGCUCGCACGCUGCAGUGUUGCUUCUCCGGCGAGGACGCCAUGCUGCACGGUGUGCCACACCACCGCAUCUCUGUUUUCUUCGUACAAACACAUUAUCACAGCGAGUAUGGAUGCGGCACCUUGGGGAAUAAUGCCUCCAAUGUGCAAGCCCAGGAUGACGACGCUGAUCACUAGCACGAAGGAUACCAAGCAGGCUAAGGAUGAAGUACACGAUGCAGGCAAGGAGGACAACCAAAACAUGCAAUCCGUACACAUAGCAGCAGCUGCAAGUUCGUCUGUCUAUGAUGAUAUGAUUGCAACUUCUUAAAAGAAGACUCUUGGACUUUCACAUGCUCUGCCUUCAUUCAUGUAGAUCUGCAAUCCUAUUGUUGGCUUAGUGGUGCGUACCAACCUAAACAUAGUUCUUGUGAUGAAAAAUGCCCUGCAUGUCACAACCCUAGAUUUCUGCUUGUAAUUAGUGGCAUUGCAUCCAUGCAUCAUUUUCAAUUUCAAUUAAUCUUGAAAUGGGGAUGUUCAAACCCUAGCAUCACUUGAAUCAAACUAGGUUCAACUAAAAAUUGCAUUCAAUGAAACCAAAAUGAUCCUUAUUGAUUUUUGGUAUUUUUGGCAAGGGAUUUGAUCCAAACAAAAAAUAAUGAACAUUUUUAAGGAACAAUUUGGGCACUGAAUUUAAGUCAUAAAGUAUUUGAAUUGGGGCAUUUAAUUGCUAUAAAUAUUACUAAAUGCUCCAACAAUUCUAAAAAUAGCUAAGGGCCCGUGAGAUAAUUCAGUAAUUGCCCAUAAUUAAUUUCAGGAUUUAUAGAAGUGAUUUGGUGUUGUUGCUAAAUCAAAAACAAAUUUGCAAAUUAGAAAACAGAACAAAAGUAGAAAUUAGAAGGAGAGAGAAGCCACCUGAACUUACCUGGCACUUUUGGCCCAACACUGUGCACCCCGGCCUGCCACCGCUGCCAGUCAUCUCCCUCCUCUUGCCAGAAGGCAGAGGAGAAGCGGAGCACGCCCCCGCGCGAGCGCGCCACGCCGGCAGCAGCUUGCCUGCCUCCCCAGCUCUCUAGUCGCGACGCGGAGCUGCCACGAACCCCUCUGCCUCUUCCCCUCUCUCUGGUUCCUCCCUCUCUCCCUAGUGUUCGCGCGCGCAGCCACCGAGCGCCUCGUAGCGCGCCGACGAGCACUACCACGGCCACCGGCCUCCACACGCCUCCCCAACACGCCAAGAAGCUUCGCCGUCGACCUCUACACCGUCUCAGCCAAGCCACGCGAGCGGAAGCGCCCUGCAGCGUCGUCCCCGACCUCAUCUUCAACCUCUGACCGCCGGCAACCUCACCGUGGAUUCGCGAGCUCCAGACCCUCCCCGAUCCCGCCGUUGCCUCUGAUGGAUUCGCUGUGAGCCUCUGCCCCUUUCCCCUCUCUCCCCGCACUCGUCCGCGUCCUCUAACCACCGUGGCCAUCGGAGCCGAUAGCUCCUCGCCGUCGGCCAUGUCGCCACCGCGGUUACGGCCGUGCAAGCACGCGUCCGAGCUCACCACUGAACUCACCGCACUCCCGCGAGUCGAACACGACCAUCCACGACUCCUCCCGUGCCCCGCAUCGCCCAAACCGUUGUUGGCCGUACUCCGGCCGCCGCCUCGCUCGCCGCCGGCGCUGCUCCCGGCCACCCUGCGGCCUCCCGUCCGGUCCUUGGAUGCGGACGAGCAAGAGCUCCUCCCCGACGCCCUCAGCGCGCCAAACCACCGCCCGUAGCUCAAAUCCGAGCCGCGCCGCCGUCGAUUUGGUCACCGUGGGCCAGGCUCCGGUGACCGCCGAUGUGGCCGCCAUUAGUGGCUAUUUGCGCCACUAAUUAAUCCUCCACUGAAACUGACAGCCGGGCCCCACCGCCUAACUAACCGGCUAACUUAAUAAGAUUAAGUUUAAUCUAAUAACAGCGGGCCCAUGUGUGAGUUUUGACUACGCUGACGUGGUCGUUGACCCGACCCCACCUGUCUGUUACUCUAGGCAGCUCUGGGUCACUGGCCAGUGGGCCCCACUGGUCAGGCUUGACCUGGUCAGCGCUGUUGACUUGCUGACACAAGCAUGAUACAGUGCUGAUGCUGUAAAUGAUUUUCUGGAUUUAAAAUAAUUCAGGAAAUUUCAGAAAAUGUCCUAAACUUCUAAAAAUCAUAGAAAAUAAUCUGAAGCUCCAAAUGAAAUAAUUUAUAUAUGAAAAAUUAUUAGAAAAAUCCAAAGAAUUUGUUUAUAGCAUUUUCAUGCAUUUUUGAACAACUUAAAGUUCCUGUAUAAGACAAUUUGAACUAAUGGCAUUUGAAAUGUCUUAUGUGGAGUUUGAAUUUGAAUCUAGUGUUCAAACCAACUCCAUUUAAAUCGUUGCUAGCUGCAUUAGCUCAAAUCACAGCAUAUUGCCAUGUCACAUUCAUGCAUCAUAUUGUUGCAUUGCAUUGAUUGUGUUCCCUCUUGUUUGCCGGUGUUUGUCCCCUCUCAGUAGACGUGGUUCCGACGAUGAGAUCGAUGACACCGAU